Molecule: microRNA precursor, 87 nt
Filed under: Medicago truncatula (barrel medic)
Lineage: Eukaryota; Viridiplantae; Streptophyta; Magnoliopsida; Fabales; Fabaceae
Description: MIR2086 microRNA precursor family
Rfam family: MIR2086 microRNA precursor family
Source: Rfam by way of RNAcentral
CACUUUCCUCGUGGCAUGUAUCGAACAUGCUGCUUGACUUUAGGGGAAAUCGAGCAAUGAGAGACAUGAAUGCAGAACUGUCAACAU